This 3063-nucleotide ribosomal RNA is filed under the name Gelria sp. Kuro-4. RNAcentral's name for it is "23S ribosomal RNA". It matches the Rfam family "Bacterial large subunit ribosomal RNA". Lineage: Bacteria; Bacillati; Bacillota; Clostridia; Thermoanaerobacterales; Thermoanaerobacteraceae. The record is from RNAcentral.
UCAAGCUAGAGAGGGCACACGGAGGAUGCCUUGGCGCUUUGAGCCGAAGAAGGGCGCAGUAAGCGGCGAAACGCCCCGGGGAGUCGCAAACAGACGUCGAUCCGGGGAUACCCGAAUGGGGGAACCCGCCUGGGGUAAUACCCAGGCAUCCCUGCCUGAACCCAUAGGGCAGGGAAGGGCACCGGGUGAACUGAAACAUCUCAGUAGCCCGAGGAAAAGAAAGAAACCUCGAAGCCCCAAGUAGCGGCGAGCGAACAGGGCCGAGCCCAAACCCAGCCGGUGCACAGCCUGCCGGCGUUGCCGGCUGGGGGUAGCGGGAGCUGCAGGGCUUUGCGGCAGCAGAGCCGGAGCCGAAAGCGGCCGAGCCGAACGCCCUGGAAAGGGCGGCCGAAGAGAGUGAGAGCCUCGUAGGCCGAAAGCCGCCUCAAGCUUAGCAGCCACCCAAGUACCACGGAGCACGUGGAAUUCCGUGGGAAUCCGGGAGGACCACCUCCUAAGGCUAAAUACUCAAAGCGACCGAUAGCGCACCAGUACCGUGAGGGAAAGGUGAAAAGCACCCCGGGAGGGGAGUGAAAAAGAACCUGAAACCGUGUGUCCACAAGCCGUGGAAGUCCGGCACUCAAUCGGCGAGUUUAAGCAGAGGAAGUCCGCAAGGGCGUUUCCCGCAAAGGAAAGGCAGCGGACAGAAGAACUUAGACUUGCGGAUUGAGUGCCGGACGACCGCGUGCCUAUUGAAGAAUGAACCGGCGAGUUGCGUACAGUUGCGAGGUUAAGGCCGAAAAGCCGGAGCCGGAGCGAAAGCGAGUCUGAAAGGGCGCAAGUAGCUGUACGCAGACCCGAAACCGGGUGAUCUACCCAUGGCCAGAGUGAAACGAGAGUAAAACCUCGUGGAGGCUCGAACCCACCAGUGUUGAAAAACUGGGGGAUGAGCUGUGGGUAGGGGUGAAAUGCCAAUCGAACCCGGAGAUAGCUGGUUCUCCCCGAAAUAGCUUUAGGGCUAGCCUCAGGGAUGAGCUGCGGAGGUAGAGCACUGAUUGGGCUAGGGGCCUUACCGGGUUACCGAACCCAUUCAAACUCCGAAUGCCGCAGCUUGGACCCUGGGAGUCAGACUACGGGCGCUAAGGUUCGUGGUCAAGAGGGAAAGAGCCCGGACCGACAGCUAAGGUCCCCAAGCUGGGCUAAGUGGAUAAGGAUGUGGGAUCGCCCAGACAGCCAGGAUGUUGGCUUAGAAGCAGCCAUUCAUUCAAAGAGUGCGUAAUAGCUCACUGGUCGAGUGAUCCUGCGCCGAAAAUACACGGGGCUCAAGCCCAGCACCGAAGCUUCGGAUGAUGGCGGUUGGCUGCAGCCCACCGCCAACAUGGUAGGGGAGCGUUCCUUACGGGUAGAAGCAUACCUGGGAGGGUGUGUGGACCGUAAGGAAGAGCGAAUGCCGGUAUGAGUAGCGAAAAGGCAGGUGAGAAUCCUGCCCGCCGUAAGCCUAAGGAUUCCUGAGGAAGGAUCGUCCGCUCAGGGUCAGGCGGGACCUAAGCCGAGGCCGGAAGGCGUAGGCGAUGGACAGCCGGUUAAAAUUCCGGCCCCACCUGAGGCCGUUUGAGCGACGGGGUGACGCAGGAGGGUAGGUCGAGCGCACGGGUGGAAGAGUGCGUCCAAGCCGGUAGGAAGAGCGGGGAGGCAAAUCCCCCCGUGGGUUCCGAGAGGUGAUGGGGAGCGGCUACGGCUGCGAAGCGACCGAGCCCAAACUGCCGAGAAAAACCCCUAGCGAGGCCGAAGGUGCCCGUACCGCAAACCGACACAGGUAGGCGGGGAGAGAAUCCCGAGGCGCGCGAGAGAACCCUCGUUAAGGAACUCGGCAAAAUGGCCCCGUAACUUCGGGAGAAGGGGCGCCGGCCUGGGAGUAGGGCGAACGCCCGAAGCCCGGGCGGGCCGCAGUGAAAAGGCCCAAGCGACUGUUUACCAAAAACACAGGUCCCUGCCAAGUGGAAACACCACGUAUAGGGGCUGACGCCUGCCCGGUGCUGGAAGGUUAAGGGGAAGGGUGAGAGCCUUGAACCGAAGCCCCAGUAAACGGCGGCCGUAACUAUAACGGUCCUAAGGUAGCGAAAUUCCUUGUCGGGUAAGUUCCGACCCGCACGAAAGGCGUAACGACUUGGGCGCUGUCUCAACGAGGGACUCGGUGAAAUUGCAAUACCUGUGAAGAUGCAGGUUACCCGCGACUGGACAGAAAGACCCCGUGGAGCUUUACUGUAACCUGACAUUGGAUUUUGGUGUGGCCUGUACAGGAUAGGUGGGAGGCAGAGAAGCCGAGCCGCCAGGCCCGGUGGAGCCGACCUUGGGAUACCACCCUGGCGACACUGAAGUUCUAACCUCAAGCCGUGAACCGGCUGAGGGACCGUGUCAGGCGGGCAGUUUGACUGGGGCGGUCGCCUCCCAAAGGGUAACGGAGGCGCCCAAAGGUUCCCUCAGCGCGGUUGGGAAUCGCGCCGAAGAGUGUAAAGGCAGAAGGGAGCUUAACUGCGAGACAGACACGUCGAGCAGGGACGAAAGUCGGGCUUAGUGAUCCGGUGGUUCCGAGUGGAAGGGCCAUCGCUCAACGGAUAAAAGCUACCCCGGGGAUAACAGGCUUAUCUCCCCCAAGAGUUCACAUCGACGGGGAGGUUUGGCACCUCGAUGUCGGCUCAUCGCAUCCUGGGGCUGAAGUAGGUCCCAAGGGUUGGGCUGUUCGCCCAUUAAAGCGGUACGUGAGCUGGGUUCAGAACGUCGUGAGACAGUUCGGUCCCUAUCCAUCGCGGGCGCAGGAAACUUGCGGGGAGCCGUCCCUAGUACGAGAGGACCGGGAUGGACGGACCGCUGGUGUACCAGUUGUCGUGCCAACGGCAACGCUGGGUGGCCAAGUCCGGACGGGAUAAACGCUGAAAGCAUCUAAGUGUGAAGCCCACCCCAAGAUGAGGUUUCCCAUGGCACAGGCCAGUAAGACCCCUUGCAGAUGACGAGGUAGAUAGGCCAGGUGUGUAAGGAGGGUAACCUCCUCAGCUGACUGGUACUAAUAGGUCGAGGGCUUGACCU